GAUGAACGCUAGCGGCAGGCUUAACACAUGCAAGUCGAGGGGCAGCAUAUUUUGUAGUAAUACAAGAUGAUGGCGACCGGCGCACGGGUGCGUAACGCGUAUGCAACCUACCAUAUACAGGGGGAUAAACUUUCGAAAGGGAGCCUAAUACCCCAUAGUAUUAUUUUAAGGCAUCUUGCAAUAAUUAAAGAUUAAUUGGUAUAUGAUGGGCAUGCGUGUCAUUAGCUAGUUGGUAAGGUAACGGCUUACCAAGGCGACGAUGACUAGGGGUUCUGAGAGGAAGAUCCCCCACACUGGUACUGAGACACGGACCAGACUCCUACGGGAGGCAGCAGUGAGGAAUAUUGGUCAAUGGGCGAGAGCCUGAACCAGCCAUGCCGCGUGCAGGAAGACGGCCCUAUGGGUUGUAAACUGCUUUUAUGUGAGGAUAAGCCUAUUCUUGCGAGAGUAGCUGAAGGUAUCACAUGAAUAAGGAUCGGCUAACUCCGUGCCAGCCGCCGUCGUAA
RNAcentral lists this ribosomal RNA (506 nucleotides) under uncultured bacterium. RNAcentral describes it as "partial 16S ribosomal RNA". It matches the Rfam family "Bacterial small subunit ribosomal RNA", at positions 28 to 523 of the family's 1533-position model. The record is from RNAcentral.